Molecule: ribosomal RNA, 369 nt
Filed under: uncultured bacterium
Lineage: Bacteria
Description: bacterial SSU rRNA
Rfam family: Bacterial small subunit ribosomal RNA
Source: RNAcentral
AUUGAACGCUGGCGGCAUGCCUUACACAUGCAAGUCGAACGGCAGCACGGGAGCAAUCCUGGUGGCGAGUGGCGAACGGGUGAGUAAUAUAUCGGAACGUGCCCGGUCGUGGGGAUAACGUAGCGAAAGCUACGCUAAUACCGCAUACGAUCUACGGAUGAAAGCGGGGGAUCGCAAGACCUCGCGCGAUUGGAGCGGCCGAUAUCAGAUUAGGUAGUUGGUGAGGUAAAGGCUCACCAAGCCGACGAUCUGUAGCUGGUCUGAGAGGACGACCAGCCACACUGGGACUGAGACACGGCCCAGACUCCCUACGGGAGGCAGCAGUGGGAAUUUUGGACAAUGGGCGCAAGCCUGAUCUAGCAAUGCCGC